AUGUUUGAGAAGAUCACGGAGCGUGCUGAGGAGAUGAAAGUACACUUAUUCGAUUCCAUGUUUGAUCCAGUGUUGGUCAAGUUGAUGACAGAGGUGCAGAGCUCCCUACAGCUGGCGGAGAAGGAGCAUAGGAAGAUGUUCGAGAAGAUCGCCGAGCAUGCUGAGGAGAUGAAGAAGUUGAUGACAGAGGUGCAGUUGUCUUCAUCUCGAGUUUGCAAGGUGACCUUACCUGAGAUGGCAAAGUCCGUAGCCAGAGUUAUUGAUGGCUUGCGCGAUACCAAAGUGUUGUGGUUCAUUGGGUCCAUCUCCUCCUUCGCCAUCUACUACGGCACCUGCGUGCUCUCUGAGUCAAUGCUCUCCGCCCAUUCGUGCCAUCUUCGUCGGUUGCUCCUGUCCUGCACAAGGUCAUGCACAACAUGUGCCUUGCCGGAUGCCUUCGAUGCCCCACUCUUGAUCAGAAGGUCAUUACAAAGGAAUUCUAGGGGAAUCGUACCAAGGAUCCUGCACAAUGCGAGCCUUGCUAUUGUAUGCCUUCGAGACAUCGAGGCUACAGUGAAGAUGGAGUUAUUUCUUUCAGGAAGGAAGGAUACAUACAACGAUUUUGCUGAGGCAAUGGAUCUGGAAGAGAUGGGGGUACUUGUUCAUGUGUCAUGCUCGUUCAAGAGCCUCAUUGCUCAUUCCACAAAGAGGCAAAUGAGAAUCAUGUCUAUACGAAUGGAGAAGAUGUAG
RNAcentral lists this ribosomal RNA (729 nucleotides) under Triticum aestivum (bread wheat). Its description in RNAcentral is "partial small subunit ribosomal RNA". The record is from RNAcentral. Lineage: Eukaryota; Viridiplantae; Streptophyta; Magnoliopsida; Poales; Poaceae.